AGAGUUUGAUCCUGGCUCAGGAUGAACGCUAGCUACAGGCUUAACACAUGCAAGUCGAGGGGAAACGACAUCGAAAGCUUGCUUUUGAUGGGCGUCGACCGGCGCACGGGUGAGUAACGCGUAUCCAACCUGCCCACCACUUGGGGAUAACCUUGCGAAAGUAAGACUAAUACCCAAUGACGUCUCUAGAAGACAUCUGAAAGAGAUUAAAGAUUUAUCGGUGAUGGAUGGGGAUGCGUCUGAUUAGCUUGUUGGCGGGGUAACGGCCGACCAAGGCGACGAUCAGUAGGGGUUCUGAGAGGAAGGUCCCCACAUUGGAACUGAGACACGGUCCAAAAUCCUACGGNGGCA
This 351-nucleotide ribosomal RNA is filed under the name uncultured bacterium. RNAcentral's name for it is "bacterial SSU rRNA". It matches the Rfam family "Bacterial small subunit ribosomal RNA", at positions 8 to 350 of the family's 1533-position model. The record is from RNAcentral.